Cyanistes caeruleus (blue tit) is the source of this 268-nucleotide non-coding RNA. The record is from RefSeq and is a predicted model, not a curated record. Lineage: Eukaryota; Metazoa; Chordata; Aves; Passeriformes; Paridae.
CCCCCAGGUACCUGUACCGGCUCUGCCCCUUCCAGCGCGUCACCCAGAGACCCAAAAACGGCGGCGCCGAGACCAACCUGGGGCUCUGGGGCUCCUGGGCGGGGCCCGAAGGCGACAAAUUCGGGGCCCAAAAAUACGAGGGGGGCACGGGGUGCUGGCAGGGACCCAACAGAGCCACCACGGUGCGGCUCAGGUGUGGCCGGGACACGGCGGUGACGGCGGCGUCGGAGCCGAGCCGCUGCGAGUACCUGCUGGAGCUGGAGACACC